This 462-nucleotide ribosomal RNA is filed under the name uncultured bacterium. Its description in RNAcentral is "bacterial SSU rRNA". It matches the Rfam family "Bacterial small subunit ribosomal RNA", at positions 1 to 507 of the family's 1533-position model. The record is from RNAcentral.
CAGUAGUCACGAGUUUGAUCAUGGCUCAGAACGAACGCUGGCGGCAUGCCUAACACGUGCAAGUCGAACGAGACCUUCGGGUCUAGUGGCGCACGGGUGCGUAACGCGUGGGAACCUGCCUUUAGGUUCGGAAUAACUCAGAGAAAUUUGUGCUAAUACCGUAUGAUGUCGAAAGACCAAAGAUUUAUCGCCUAAGGAUGAGCCCGCGUAAGAUUAGCUUGUUGGUGAGGUAAAAGCUCACCAAGGCGACGAUCUUUAGCUGGUCUGAGAGGAUGAUCAGCCACACUGGGACUGAGACACGGCCCAGACUCCUACGGGAGGCAGCAGUGGGGAAUAUUGGACAAUGGGCGAAAGCCUGAUCCAGCAAUGCCGCGUGAGUGAUGAAGGCCUUAGGGUUGUAAAGCUCUUUUACCAGGGAUGAUAAUGACAGUACCUGGAGAAUAAGCUCCGGCUAACUCCGUG